This 4218-nucleotide long non-coding RNA is filed under the name Mytilus galloprovincialis (Mediterranean mussel). The record is from RNAcentral. Lineage: Eukaryota; Metazoa; Mollusca; Bivalvia; Mytilida; Mytilidae.
GUAAAAACUGGACAUUUGGGAAAGAUGGUUAGUCAGUAAUAUAAACAUAUACUUGUAUUGCUAUUCUAUUCAAAAAUAUUAUUUACAACAAAAAAAGUAAGGCCAGUCAGUACAUAAGAUUUUGAUGUCACUGAAUGCAUAUAUUUUUUCUGCAUUUUAGCAAUGGCACUUUUCAUUUGUAUUGAGGCUGCUUUGGACCUGCCCAUUAGUAUAAAUUGUUUAUUAAUUUGAUAAAUGACGAAGCAGUGACCUCUUAUUAAGUGGACAUCUUGAUAUAUAUAUUAUGUUUCUGCAAUGUGUUAUAAAUUUUGAUGAGCAUGUCUUGAUUGAUUUGACAUCUGGGUUAACAGUAGUAUACUUUUUACAAAUAGUCCAAUCUUAACGCUUAUAGACCAAAUUAAUAAAAUAAUUGUCCAUUGCGUUCAUUUUUAUUUUGUAAGCUGAUUCAAAUUAAAGUUGCCAAAAAUGAUUCAAAAAUCCUUUAAAAAAAGUUUGUUCUUCAGAAAUUGUAUCAAAUAUUUAAAACAAAACUUAUCACAAAUGAAACACCUUAUUGUGCAGUCAACUGUUAAAUAAUAUAAGCAUGACCCUAUUUAUUGAAUCUAAUAAAAAGUAAAAUCACAAAAAUACUGAACUCUGAGGAAAAUUCAAAACAGAAAGUCCCUUAUCAAAUAGCAAAAUCAAAAGCUCAUACACAUCAAACGAAUGGAUAACAACUGUCAUAUCCUGACAUGGAACAGACAUUUUAUUAUGUACACCUGGUUUUAAAGCUAGCUAAAUCUCUCACUUGUAUGACAGUCCCAUCAAAUUCAAUUAUAUUGACAACGAUGUGUGAACAAAACAAACAGACAAAAUAGGUAAAAAUGUCUAAAAUACAGCAGUCAACAUUGUGUAAUAAUCUUAAUCACAAAAAAACCACAUACAAGAAUAAAGAAGUACAACAUGGCAUAUGGACCAAGCAUAUUAGCAAAAAUUAAAGACAAGAAUACACAAACUUACCAUAUUACUAUAAUACAAUGGCGGGGUGUAUAAGUACAGAGCCACGUCAUAUAUGUAACAAAGAAACAUAAAAAGGCAUAUAGACAAAGCACAAUAGCAAAAAAGAAAGACAAGAAUACGAAAAUAUCAUAAAUAAUAAUGACAGGAUGUAAAAGUAUUCCAAGUAUCUUAAUAAAAAUAAAAACAAACAUAUAUUUUAGUCACUGAACACUUUGUGGUUGUUUUUUGAGGAUGAUUUUAAUAAUACAGUUAUAAAUUUAAAGCAAGGACAAUAGUUGAACAAUAGAGGCAUCUUGGAUCUUUUGUUCUCUCUCCUUUUUCAUCAAAAACACAUGUGCUAGCAUCAGAUAAUGGUUUUUCAAAUAUAUUUAUUUUCAGAUAUAGAGGAACUUAUCUUUAUGUUAACAGAUUCACCUGUGAGUAUAUUUUCAGUUUAAUUAUAAUUGGUUAAUUAAAGAGGGAAGCUUUCUGUUCAAAUCACUACAAAAAGAUUGUUACCAUUACUUCUUGUGAGAAUCAGAUUGCAGUUUAUCUUCUCUUGCCCAGAUAAUCGGCUGAUUUCGCAGUAAGUGCAGGUUGACAGGAUGCUAAUAUGAUGGCUUUGAUCUCUUCUCAAAAUGUAUAUUUCUUUGAAAAAAUAAGAAUAUAACCACUUUAUUAGACUCAGUCUUUAGGUUUUUAUAUGUUUUUAUGUUAAUGAUUUGAUGACUCCAUGCAUAGAAUUUUUGCAACAGAUAAAAUUGUUUAUCAAAUGUAUGGUUUUAGGGUGUUAUGUGUCGUCCAUCCAGAGUUCGACAAAUGUUUGCCUCUAGAUCAUGUAGAAAGUCCAUAAUGAUUGGUACAGCACUGAAUAAAUCUGAAAUGAAAAAGGUAAUUGUUGUAUAUGAAUGGAUUCAUAAGCUUCACAAGAAUCCUUACAAGGAAAGGUAUAUUGCAGGUUCUUCCAAGUGUUCCACUAACCCCUUUCUAAAGUUCUUACUGCCAACUCACUGCAGUCAAAGAAGGACUUCAGAAAUAUUCGAAACGGCAUAUUCAAGAAGUGUGUUAAUCAGAUGUGGAUACUGAAAAAUUCAAAAAGAGUAAUGGUGAAUUUACAAUCUCAAUCAUUAAAACAUUGUACCAACAUUAAAACCUUUGAUUUUUCAACUCUUUAUACCACUAUUUCACAUACUUAACUUAAAGCUCGACUGAAAAAACUCGUCAGCUUAUGUUUCUUUAACAAAAAGGGCACUAGACGUUUUAAAUAUCUAGUUUUGGGCAGAAAUUCAGCUUACUUUGUGAAAAAUCAUACAGAGUUGCGGGAAAAAUACAAAGAAGAGAAUAUUACUGCCAUGCUGGACUUUUAAAUUGACAACAUAUUUGUUGAAUUUGGAGGUUUGGUCUUCCAACAUACUAUUGGAAUCCCUACUUGCAGAUUUGUUUUUGUAUUCCCAUGAAGCAGAAUUUAUCCGAGGGCUUGUACAUAAAGGAGAAAAGAAAUUAGCCCAGUCUUUUAAUUUCAGCUUUUGGUAUAUUAAUGAUGUACUGUCUCUUAAUAAUAAUAGAUUCAGUGAUCACUUACAUUUAAUAUAUCCAAGUGAACUUGUAAUUAAAGAUACUACCGACACAGAUAAAUCUGCUUCAUAUUUAGACCUUUUUCUUGAAAUUACUACUGAUGGUAGGUUGAAUACCAAAAUUUAUGACAAACGCGAUGAUUUUAAUUUUCCAUUUCUGUGUAGCAACAUCCCAGCGGCACCAGCAGAUGGAGUAAAUGUGUCUCAAUUGAUACGCUACUCUAGAGCUAGCUCAAAGUACGUUGAUUUUGUUGAACGAGAAUACUGCUUUCUCAAAAGUUGCUUAUGAAUCAAUCAAAUUAAGGUCAUCACUCAAGAAAUUUUACGGUCCCCAUCAUGAAAGAGGGACGAAAGAUACCAAAGGGACAGUCAAACUCAUCAAUCCAAAACAAACUGACAACGCCAUGGCUAAAAAUGAAAAAGACAAACAAACAACAGCACACACGACACAACAUAGAAAACUAAAGAAUAAACAACACGAACCCCACAAAAAAACUAGGGGUUAUCUCAGGUGCUCCGGAAGGGUAAGCAGAUCCUGCUCCACAUGCGGCACCCGUCGUGUUGCUUAUGUGAUAACAAAUCCGGUAAAUAGUCUAAUUCGGCUAGGUCACAUUCAGGAAAGGAAGGGAUUGUAGUUACACGUCAGGAACAUAUCCGAUAUCAUUUGUGAUACGGUUAUUCCAUAACGGUCAACCAACUCGUGAUGGCGUCCGUAAAAUUUACGAAGGGAUGAUUUCAACUUCACCAUUUGGAACUCUUGGUUUAAUAGCUUCCUUGUGAGCAGCAACCCUCUAUCAAGAAAAUCAUGAUAGGAAAUGCAAGCACGGGAAUAUCGUAUCAAUUGGGAGAUAUAUACCCCGUAUGCAGGUGCUGCUGGAAUGUUGCUACUUAGAAAUGGAAAGUUCACAAUUGAAAGCUGAAAUCAUCUCUUUUGUCGUAAAGUUUUGUUUUCAACCGACCCUCAUUGUCAAUUUCUAGAUGUAAGUCAAGAUAUGAGGCUGACUUAACUGUAUCUGUAGUACAUGAGCUGAUUGGCCAUUAUGACAAAAGUGUGUCAGAAAUCAUAUCUGAUAUUCUUCCUCAGUCAUAAUAACCUUCCAUGAUUACCGGACUGAAUAAAGAAAUAACACGACAGGUGCCGUAUACGGUGCAGGAAAUGCUUACCCUUCCGGAGCACCUGAUUUCACUCCCCGUUUUUAGUGGAGUUCGUGUUGUUUCUUAUUUAUUAUUUAUAACUGUUGAUGUAAAUGUCCUUUGGUUUUUUGAGUCUUUGUUUACUCCAUGGUUUUGAUUGUUAUUGUCUUCAUUUGAUAGCAACAUUAAUCUUAUUUAGACAUUCAUAUGUUUUACUACCUUUAGGUAGAAGGUAAGAUAGAGAGUCUUUCUUUUAAAAAAAUGCAAAAAACUUCAAGUUGUAAACAUUAUGUUGAAAUAAAGUUGUUUGCCAGGUUUUCAUUUCUUCAGACUUUUUCAGAAUGAAAGAACAAUUUCAUUGUCAAAACUACAUUUGAAAAUUCAAAGGAAAAAUUUUAAAAAUUUACCAGAAUGUCAAAUGUAUGGUCAGUAUGAAAACGUACAAAUAUUAAACAAUUGUGUGACCUUUAACUGGCUAUUUCAGUUUAUUUUACAGUUAGUGGAGCACAUGGGCCAAAUUGACCAGCCUUGG